CAUAUCUCUAUAGCCAAAAUACAUCAAUGGCCUUCUCAGAAAAGAAACUCACAGAUGCAGCAUUUCUCAUAGUGUUGAAUGCAUCAUCUGGGCAUGAGAAAGCACCUCAUUACUGGUUUUCUGGAGUUCAGUGAUACAACUACACAGACUGUCAACACACUCUCAACAGAUUGUUGAAGGGAUCACAUACUGUCCAUGUUUUGCUACUUUUGGCCUUCGUGAACAUAGUUGUUUUUACAUAAACAAAUGGACACACUGUAAUUCUAAACUCAGUUGUGUAUUGGAGAUGCAUCACAUCACACAACCUCAUCAUCUGCAGAUAAACCUUCACUCAGUCACACCAUAAUGAUGGAUUUAAAGGCAUAUGAAGAUAUUUCACUGGAACUUGGUCUUCAUCACAUCUGUUUUUGUUUUUAUUUUGUUUUACUUCUUUGUUUAUUUAUUCAUGUUCAUUGUCAAUUGUCUUUUUUUAAUGUAUUCAGCUAAUAACUGUUGUUAAGAGCACUGACAUUUUUGCCACAAUAUUACAUGUCAAUAAAAAAGUACCCAAUCCACACAACAUUGUUCUUGUUAUUGUUUUAAUGCAAAACUCUAAUAGGCUACACUUAUAUAUGUGACCCUGGACCACAAAACCAGUCAUAAGUGUCAAUUUUUCAAAAUUGAAUAAAUAAGCUUUCCAUUGAUGUAUGGUUUGUUAUGAUAGGACAAUAUUUGGCCGAGAUACAACUAUUUGAAAAUCUGGAAUCUGAGGGUGCAAAAAAAUCAAAAUACUGAGAAAAUCACCUUUAAAGUUGUCUAAAUGAAGUUCUUAGCUAUGCAUAUUAUUGAUCAAAAAUUAAGUUUUGAUAUAUUUACGGUAGGAAAUUCACUAAAUAUCUUCUUGGAACAUGAUCUUUACUUAAUAUCCUAAUGAUUUUUGGCAUAAAAUAAAAAUGGAUAAUUUUGACCCAUACAAUGUAUUUUUGGCUAUUGCUACAAAUAUACCCCAGCGACUUUAGACUGGUUUUGUGGUCCAGGGUCACAUAUAUGUAUAAGUAUAUAUAUAAAAGGCUCAGUACUGCUUUUCUGGAGCUCAGCCAUUCAGCUACACAGACUGUCAACACAUUCAACAGGUAAAUAAUUUCUUUCUUAAAAUGUCUAUAAUUUAACUUUCAAAUUGUAACUGUUUUCCUACCAAUGUAUUUUUGUCUCUUUUUAGUUGAACAGAAUAUGUAAGUGUGACCAGCCCUGUUCAGUUAAAGAUACUUAUCUCCUCUUCACCACCAAGUAAAUAACAAAGAUAGAAUUUAUGUGAGAUGAUGAAUAUUAUGACUAUUAUUAUUACUUGGGUUUAUGCAUAAACAUACCGAGUCACAGCUAUCCCAUGACUUUAUAUCACUUUUUCCUUUUAACAUACUACUUUUGACCUUCAUAAACAAUUGUUUUAAACAAAUGGAAGGAGACACAUUGUAACUGUAAACUCAGUUGUGCAUUUCAGAUGCUGUCACAUCCUACAACCUCGUCAUCUGCAGAGAGAAACUGCCACUCAAUCACACCAAAAUAUGCAUAAUGAUGGACUUUCAGGCAUCAUAGAGGAUUAUAAAAAGUAUUUCACUGGAACUUGGUCUUCA
Onychostoma macrolepis is the source of this 1610-nucleotide long non-coding RNA. RefSeq lists it as uncharacterized. The record is from RefSeq and is a predicted model, not a curated record. Lineage: Eukaryota; Metazoa; Chordata; Actinopteri; Cypriniformes; Cyprinidae. The transcript has 3 exons.